Rosa rugosa (rugosa rose) is the source of this 127-nucleotide small nucleolar RNA. RefSeq annotates it as small nucleolar RNA snoR74. The transcript has a single exon. The record is from RefSeq and is a predicted model, not a curated record. Lineage: Eukaryota; Viridiplantae; Streptophyta; Magnoliopsida; Rosales; Rosaceae.
AAAAACAAUAGGGCAGUAUUAAAAUAAAUAAAAAACUAUAUAUGUCAGGGAAAUAAUUGCAACAUUAUUAGGUGAACCCGUUCUUUGUGAAUGGUGGCUCAAGGUUUCAGUAAAUGAUGCAACAUUC